GCCCGCUUGGCUCAGCGGUAGAGCACUCGCUUCACACGCGAGGGGUCAGUAGUUCGAAUCUACUAGCGGGCACCA
RNAcentral lists this transfer RNA (75 nucleotides) under Acidobacteriota bacterium. RNAcentral's name for it is "Acidobacteria bacterium tRNA-Val". It matches the Rfam family "tRNA". Rfam says of the family: Transfer RNA (tRNA) molecules are approximately 80 nucleotides in length. Lineage: Bacteria; Pseudomonadati; Acidobacteriota. The record is from RNAcentral. RNAcentral also lists the same sequence under 6 other names.